Poecile atricapillus (Black-capped chickadee) is the source of this 1727-nucleotide RNA transcript. It is a transcript of the gene named E3 ubiquitin-protein ligase FANCL-like, with no coding region annotated. Lineage: Eukaryota; Metazoa; Chordata; Aves; Passeriformes; Paridae. The transcript is spliced from 4 exons. The record is from RefSeq and is a predicted model, not a curated record.
GCAGGUUGCUUUAGGCCAUUUUCAGUCGGGUUGUGAACAUCUGCAAGCGUUGAGAUUGUGCAACCUCUUAGAUGGCCUGUUCCAGUCUCUGAUCCCCCCCUUAUCUAUAAAUUAGGGUUAUUUUUCAUUCCAUUCAGGUGACAUUUCCUGUCUUUCUGUCACCUUAGCCUGUCGGUUUGUGUCGCUCAGGUCUGGCUGUACGUUUUUUAGUCCUUCCCCAGUCCCUCUUUUCUCCAGGCUAAACAGUCCAAGCUCCCUCAGGCUUUCCUGGCAUGGGAGAUGCUUUGAGCUCUUGGCCACCUUCAGAGCUCCUCCCUGGAUUAACUCCAGCGUGUCCAUGCCUUGCUUGUGCUGGAGACCCAGUACUCCCAGCUUCAAGGUGUGCAGAGCUGGGAUAGGGUCUGGAAUAAAAGUUUUAAGGGUGGAGACUUCCACAUCAGGCUACUGCUGCCGGUGGAUUUGCAACUGAAAAGUGCCAGGAUAGAGUGCAGCUGGCGUCUGAAGAAGAUCCUGCGUGGAUGUCGGCACAUUUUAAAGCAGAGGCUGCAGAGCUGCCCAGAUCUUGUCAGAUUUGUGGUGGAACUGAAGACUGUUUUGGUGAGUGGCAGAAUAUAUGUGUGGGACAUGGGAGGCUCUUAGAGCUUUGGGUUUCACUUGCAGUUUUUACAGGUUACUGUUCCAUAGAUUUAUAGCUUUUUUUUUUUUUUUUUAAUAAAAAGAAGUGAUUUUGUAUAUAUGCUGUUCAUGUAACAGUUGUAUAAAUAUCUUAUUUAAGUGACUGUAUUCUUUGGAAUUUGGAGUAUUAUAGAAAAUUUAGAAUCCCAGCGAGGGAUCUCAGUAUAGAGAUCCUCUUUACAGUGAUUUUCUUGGAAUUCCUGUUAUUGUCUGGUUUAGGGCAAAUUUAGGAGAAAACCUCCAGUGGGGCUUCCCCCGCCCCGGGAAGCAAACCCACGUGGCCCUUUUCCCCCAACUGGUUCAGGAAGAGAUUUCUCUGAGAGAAGCGGAAAAAACCUGUUUAUUUCACAGGCACAGCACCACCCAGCACAAAAAUGAAUGAUAUCAAGUUACAAAACCUCUCGCCCUUCAGAAGAGAUGACAAACUUCAGAGGGUCUCUUUCCUGUGGGUGUUUGCUCUGUUAUCAGUCCCUUUGGCGCUGGAAAAUGCCACUGCCCAGGCUGGGCUCCCGGUAGUCCACGGGUGCAAGCUCCCGGUGCUCCCCCGAGUCCCCAGUCCAAAGCAGGUUCGAUUUGUUUCAGAAAAAGGGAAAGAAAACAGUCCAGGAAGACCUCUCUGCUCCGGCUAGUUGGAAAGCCAAGGCAAUCUGUGUCUGUCUGUCUGUCUGUCUGUCUGUGCUGUAGUCAAAACUCCCGAUGCGGGGGGAGCAAGUACAGCCUCUGAGAACAGACUCGGUGCUUCUUCUCCACUCACUUUUAGUCUCAGAUGGAAUUUUAAGAAUAUAAAACCUGUCUCUGGGUUAGGUGGACGAAUGGGGAUACAAUUUAACAUCAUAAUUAACCCAGGACAGGUGGGCUUUGAUAACAGCAGCUCUGGGCAGCUGAUAUCAGAGAAACGGAAAACUAUAACAAAAAUAGUUUUCUUGUGAGAAACUCCAUAAAUUAACAGAAAGGAACUUCUGUUUCUCUACAGAAACUGAGGAAAAGACUAUAGAAAGAAUUAAGAUUGUUUAAACCAUCAAAAUUCUAAAGUUUUUGUCUCUGUUGUCAUG